This 842-nucleotide ribosomal RNA is filed under the name Enterobacter hormaechei. Its description in RNAcentral is "partial 23S ribosomal RNA". It matches the Rfam family "Bacterial large subunit ribosomal RNA", at positions 1 to 888 of the family's 2925-position model. The record is from RNAcentral. Lineage: Bacteria; Pseudomonadati; Pseudomonadota; Gammaproteobacteria; Enterobacterales; Enterobacteriaceae.
GGUUAAGCGACUAAGCGUACACGGUGGAUGCCCUGGCAGUCAGAGGCGAUGAAGGACGUGCUAAUCUGCGAAAAGCGCCGGCGAGGUGAUAUGAACCUUUGACCCGGCGAUGUCCGAAUGGGGAAACCCAGUGUGUUCCGACACACUAUCGUUAACUGAAUACAUAGGUUAACGAGGCGAACCGGGGGAACUGAAACAUCUAAGUACCCCGAGGAAAAGAAAUCAACCGAGAUUCCCCCAGUAGCGGCGAGCGAACGGGGAGCAGCCCGGAGUCUGAAUCAGCUUGUGUGUUAGUGGAACGGUCUGGAAAGUCCGACGGUACAGGGUGAUAGUCCCGUACACGAAAAUGCACAGGUUGUGAACUCGAAGAGUAGGGCGGGACACGUGGUAUCCUGUCUGAAUAUGGGGGGACCAUCCUCCAAGGCUAAAUACUCCUGACUGACCGAUAGUGAACCAGUACCGUGAGGGAAAGGCGAAAAGAACCCCGGCGAGGGGAGUGAAAAAGAACCUGAAACCGUGUACGUACAAGCAGUGGGAGCACCUUCGGGUGUGACUGCGUACCUUUUGUAUAAUGGGUCAGCGACUUAUAUUCUGUAGCAAGGUUAACCGUAUAGGGGAGCCGAAGGGAAACCGAGUCUUAACUGGGCGUUAAGUUGCAGGGUAUAGACCCGAAACCCGGUGAUCUAGCCAUGGGCAGGUUGAAGGUUGGGUAACACUAACUGGAGGACCGAACCGACUAAUGUUGAAAAAUUAGCGGAUGACCUGUGGCUGGGGGUGAAAGGCCAAUCAAACCGGGAGAUAGCUGGUUCUCCCCGAAAGCUAUUUAGGUAGCGCCUCGUGAA